GAUGAACGCUGGCGGUAUGCUUAACACAUGCAAGUCGAACGGUCUCUUCGGAGAUAGUGGCGGACGGGUGAGUAACGCGUGAGAAUCUGGCUCUAGGUCUGGGACAACAGUUGGAAACGACUGCUAAUACCGGAUGUGCCGAAAGGUGAAAGGCUUGCUGCCUAGAGAUGAGCUCGCGUCUGAUUAGCUAGUAGGUGUGGUAAGAGCGCACCUAGGCGACGAUCAGUAGCUGGUCUGAGAGGAUGAUCAGCCACACUGGGACUGAGACACGGCCCAGACUCCUACGGGAGGCAGCAGUGGGGAAUUUUCCGCAAUGGGCGAAAGCCUGACGGAGCAAUACCGCGUGAGGGAGGAAGGCUCUUGGGUUGUAAACCUCUUUUCUCAAGGAAUAAGAAAGUGAAGGUACUUGAGGAAUCAGCAUCGGCUAACUCCGUGCCAGCAGCCGCGGUAAUACGGAGGAUGCAAGCGUUAUCCGGAAUGAUUGGGCGUAAAGCGUCCGCAGGUGGCGAUGUAAGUCUGCUGUUAAAGAGUGAGGCUUAACCUCAUAAGAGCAGUGGAAACUACAUAGCUAGAGUGCGUUCGGGGCAGAAGGAAUUCCUGGUGUAGCGGUGAAAUGCGUAGAGAUCAGGAAGAACACCGGUGGCGAAGGCGUUCUGCUAGGCCGCAACUGGCACUGAGGGACGAAAGCUAGGGGAGCGAAUGGGAUUAGAUACCCCAGUAGUCCUAGCCGUAAACGAUGGAUACUAGGCGUUGCGAGUAUCGACCCUCGCAGUGCCGGAGCCAACGCGUUAAGUAUCCCGCCUGGGGAGUACGCACGCAAGUGUGAAACUCAAAGGAAUUGACGGGGGCCCGCACAAGCGGUGGAGUAUGUGGUUUAAUUCGAUGCAACGCGAAGAACCUUACCAAGACUUGACAUGUCGCGAACCCUGAUGAAAGUUAGGGGUGCCUUCGGGAGCGCGAACACAGGUGGUGCAUGGCUGUCGUCAGCUCGUGUCGUGAGAUGUUGGGUUAAGUCCCGCAACGAGCGCAACCCUCGUUUUUAGUUGCCAGCAUUAAGUUGGGCACUCUAGAGAGACUGCCGGUGACAAACCGGAGGAAGGUGGGGAUGACGUCAAGUCAGCAUGCCCCUUACGUCUUGGGCUACACACGUACUACAAUGCGUCGAACAGAGGGCAGCAAGCUAGCGAUAGCAAGCAAAUCCCGGAAAUCGGCGCUCAGUUCAGAUCGCAGGCUGCAACUCGCCUGCGUGAAGGAGGAAUCGCUAGUAAUUGCAGGUCAGCAUACUGCAGUGAAUUCGUUCCCGGGCCUUGUACACACCGCCCGUCACACCAUGGAAGCUGGUCACGCCCGAAGUCAUUACCCCAACUUUUCGGAGAGGGGGAUGCCUAAGGUAGGACUGGUGACUGGGGUGAA
Molecule: ribosomal RNA, 1413 nt
Filed under: Nostoc sp. CENA271
Lineage: Bacteria; Bacillati; Cyanobacteriota; Cyanophyceae; Nostocales; Nostocaceae
Description: bacterial SSU rRNA
Rfam family: Bacterial small subunit ribosomal RNA
Source: RNAcentral